UACAGAGGGGGCAAGCGUUAUUCGGAAUUAUUGGGCGUAAAGGGCGCGUAGGCGGCCAUUCAAGUGACGGGUGAAAGCCCUCGGCUUAACCGAGGAACUGCCUGUCAGACUGGAUGGCUUGAGACCGGGAGAGGUGAGUGGAACUCCGAGUGUAGAGGUGAAAUUCGUAGAUAUUCGGAAGAACACCAGUGGCGAAGGCGGCUCACUGGCCCGGUACUGACGCUGAGGUGCGAAAGCGUGGGGAGCAAACAGG
Molecule: ribosomal RNA, 253 nt
Filed under: uncultured bacterium
Lineage: Bacteria
Description: partial 16S ribosomal RNA
Rfam family: Bacterial small subunit ribosomal RNA
Source: RNAcentral